This 475-nucleotide ribosomal RNA is filed under the name uncultured bacterium. RNAcentral's name for it is "bacterial SSU rRNA". It matches the Rfam family "Bacterial small subunit ribosomal RNA", at positions 24 to 518 of the family's 1533-position model. The record is from RNAcentral.
UCAGGACGAACGCUGGCGGCGUGCCUAACACAUGCAAGUCGAGCGAUGAAACCCUUCGGGUGGAUUAGCGGCGGACGGGUGAGUAACACGUGGGUAACCUGCCUCAAAGAGGGGGAUAGCCUCCCGAAAGGGAGAUUAAUACCGCAUAACAUUAUUUCUUCGCAUGAAGAGAUAAUCAAAGGAGUAAUCCGCUUUGAGAUGGACCCGCGGCGCAUUAGCUAGUUGGUGAGGUAAUGGCUCACCAAGGCAACGAUGCGUAGCCGACCUGAGAGGGUGAUCGGCCACAUUGGAACUGAGAUACGGUCCAGACUCCUACGGGAGGCAGCAGUGGGGAAUAUUGCGCAAUGGGGGAAACCCUGACGCCAGCAACGCCGCGUGGGUGAAGAAGGCCUUCGGGUUGUAAAGCUCUGUCUUCUGGGACGAUAAUGACGGUACCAGAGGAGGAAGCCACGGCUAACUACGUGCCAGCAGCCGC